This 253-nucleotide ribosomal RNA is filed under the name uncultured bacterium. Its description in RNAcentral is "partial 16S ribosomal RNA". It matches the Rfam family "Bacterial small subunit ribosomal RNA", at positions 524 to 776 of the family's 1533-position model. The record is from RNAcentral.
GACGAACCGUGCGAACGUUGUUCGGAAUCACUGGGCUUAAAGGGCGCGUAGGCGGGUUUUCAAGUCUGUGGUGAAAUCCUCCAGCUUAACUGGAGAAGUGCCGUGGAUACUGGAGACCUCGAGGAGGGUAGGGGCAUCUGGAACAGCCGGUGGAGCGGUGAAAUGCGUUGAUAUCCUAAGGAACACCGGUGGCGAAAGCGGCUCACUGGAUCUCUUCUGACGCUGAGGCACGAAAGCUAGGGUAGCGAACGGG